Molecule: non-coding RNA, 24 nt
Filed under: Drosophila melanogaster (fruit fly)
Lineage: Eukaryota; Metazoa; Arthropoda; Insecta; Diptera; Drosophilidae
Also listed under: 4 other names
Source: RNAcentral
UGUAAACAUCGUACACUCUCAGCU